CUGGAUCUGAAUAAGCUUUAAAUAAGCCCUGUACCACGAAGUGUUUUCGCAUUGCUGCAUUAUUUGAUUUUCCUUUGGGAUCAAUAAAGUUAAACUAUAUAGUUUAAAUUUUAAAUGUAUAGUUUACUAUAUAUAUAAACUAUACAUUUACUAUAUGUAAAUGUAUAGUUUACAUACAGUAAACUAUACAUUUAGUUUAAAUGCAUAGUUUAAACUAUACAUUUAAACUAUCCCUGCAUCUGCAUCAGGUUCAGGGAACUGCAUCCCUGAACCUGAUGCAGUUCAGUGAAACCUAAACUGCAUCAAGAUGGAUUAAAAUAGGAAAGAAUAGAAAAGAUGCACCACGAAAUAGAAUCUGACUGAUCAGUUUAUUUUCACAUUAGUAGAAAUGGAAACAAUACUUUUACACAUAAAUGAGGGUUGAGUAGAAUAAUUCAUAUUAAAUGUAUAAACAU
Xiphophorus couchianus (Monterrey platyfish) is the source of this 455-nucleotide long non-coding RNA. RefSeq lists it as uncharacterized. Lineage: Eukaryota; Metazoa; Chordata; Actinopteri; Cyprinodontiformes; Poeciliidae. The record is from RefSeq and is a predicted model, not a curated record. The transcript has 2 exons.